UACGUAGGGAGCAAGCGUUAUCCGGAAUUACUGGGCGUAAAGAGUUCGUAGGUGGUUUUUUAAGUCAGAUGUUAAAUCUCUGGGCUCAACCCAGAGCCUGCAUUUGAUACUGAAGAACUUGAGGUAAGGAGAGGUAAGCGGAAUUUGUAGUGUAGGGGUGAAAUCCGUAGAUACUACAAGGAACACCAAUGGCGAAGGCAGCUUACUGGCCUUAUCCUGACACUGAGGAACGAAAGCGUGGGGAGCGAAAGGG
This 253-nucleotide ribosomal RNA is filed under the name uncultured bacterium. RNAcentral describes it as "partial 16S ribosomal RNA". It matches the Rfam family "Bacterial small subunit ribosomal RNA", at positions 524 to 776 of the family's 1533-position model. The record is from RNAcentral.